UCUUUUCACUUUUAAAGGAGAGUUGCAGGAGGGGAAAUAGCCAAAAAACAAAACCCUGAGUCAAAAUAAUGUGAGUGGACUUUAAAGGUGACAAAUCUUCUCUAGUGUGAGAUUUCAAGAGACUUCUGGUGAGGAGGAAAUAUGAGUUUGGUCUGGAAGGCCUGAGCCAGGUGUGAGUCCAGAGAGACAUGGGGUUAGUAUGUAGAGAAACCAGGUUAAAAAAAAAUUUAGUGCUGCAGGUUUCUGAUUCCACUAACACAUCUAAAUAUGGCAAAAGAGCAAGUGAAUGUCUCACAAGGUUUUGAUGUAUAUUAUGGAUUUGGUUUUGCACAAGGAAACCAUCUCUGUCACCAGCUUUUAUUUCUAAGGAAAUGGAUUUUUGUGAAAACAUUUUCAAUUCCUGCUGGUGGCCUGAUAGAUACCAUCCUAAAAGCUUCCUUUAUCAGAGAAUUCCACAAAAAGUCUUGAGAAAAUGAACAAUGAAUCAGAAGAUUAAUCCAAGAUGUACAGUGGAGUUUGUCUACAGAGACACUGACAUGACUUCUGAAGCCAGGGGGCAUGCGAGCGCUCCCAGGCACGGUCCACCAAGUGCAG
Molecule: non-coding RNA, 594 nt
Filed under: Pongo abelii (Sumatran orangutan)
Lineage: Eukaryota; Metazoa; Chordata; Mammalia; Primates; Hominidae
Source: RNAcentral